GCGCACGCUGGCGGCAGGCCUAACACAUGCAAGUCGAACGAACUCUUCGGAGUUAGUGGCGGACGGGUGAGUAACACGUGGGAACGUGCCUUUUGGUUCGGAAUAACUCAGGGAAACUUGUGCUAAUACCGAAUGUGCCCUUCGGGGGAAAGAUUUAUCGCCAUUAGAGCGGCCCGCGUCUGAUUAGCUAGUUGGUGAGGUAACGGCUCACCAAGGCGACGAUCAGUAGCUGGUCUGAGAGGAUGACCAGCCACACUGGGACUGAGACACGGCCCAGACUCCUACGGGAGGCAGCAGUGGGGAACCUUGCGCAAUGGGCGAAAGCCUGACGCAGCCAUGCCGCGUGAAUGAUGAAGGUCUUAGGAUUGUAAAAUUCUUUCACCGGGGACGAUAAUGACGGUACCCGGAGAAGAAGCCCCGGCUAACUUCGUG
Molecule: ribosomal RNA, 432 nt
Filed under: uncultured bacterium
Lineage: Bacteria
Description: partial 16S ribosomal RNA
Rfam family: Bacterial small subunit ribosomal RNA
Source: RNAcentral